RNAcentral lists this ribosomal RNA (301 nucleotides) under uncultured bacterium. RNAcentral's name for it is "partial 16S ribosomal RNA". It matches the Rfam family "Bacterial small subunit ribosomal RNA", at positions 509 to 807 of the family's 1533-position model. The record is from RNAcentral.
CAGCCGCCGCGGGAAUACAGAGGGUGCAAGCGUUAAUCGGAAUUACUGGGCGUAAAGCGCGCGUAGGUGGUUCGCCAAGUUGGAUGUGAAAUCCCCGGGCUCAACCUGGGAACUGCAUCCAAAACUGGCGAGCUAGAGUAUGGUAGAGGGUGGUGGAAUUUCCUGUGUAGCGGUGAAAUGCGUAGAUAUAGGAAGGAACAUCAGUGGCGAAGGCGACCACCUGGACUGAUACUGACACUGAGGUGCGAAAGCGUGGGGAGCAAACAGGAUUAGAUACCCGCGUAGUCCCUGUCUCUUAUAC